GUCUGUAUCGAUUAGUGGUUAAAUCAUCUCGUUGUGGUUGAUCGCAAUUCCGAGAAGCCGCUGGUUCGACUCCAGCUACGGACA
Non-coding RNA from Amanita rubescens, 84 nucleotides. NCBI's taxonomy places the organism in Eukaryota, Fungi, Basidiomycota, Agaricomycetes, Agaricales, Amanitaceae. The record is from the annotation of a GenBank genome assembly.